This 2895-nucleotide long non-coding RNA is filed under the name Patiria miniata (bat star). Its description in RNAcentral is "uncharacterized LOC119746192". Lineage: Eukaryota; Metazoa; Echinodermata; Asteroidea; Valvatida; Asterinidae. The record is from RNAcentral.
UGUUAAAAAAGAAAUGAAUAAUCGCCAUGUCGAACAAAAAAUAUUGGUCGAAAAGAAGAAAAAAAAUCAAGUCGGUCUAAAAUCACAUCGUGUAUGGAUCAAUUCUUUCGUAGAAAUACUACUCCGCCUCCAACAGAUGGCUAUGAAAAUGACGAAAAUUACAUCAAAAAUCGAAGCGGUAAAAACCGUAAAAAAAUACGGCAAAAUUUAUAGCGGUGUUAAAAAAAAGAAAUUAAUAAUCGCCAUGUCGAACAAAAAAUAUUGGACGAAAAUUGAAAAAAAAAAUCAAGUCGGUCUAAAAUCACAACGUGUGUGGAUAAUUUCUUUUGUAGAAAUACUACUCCGCCUUCAACAGAUGGCUAUGAAAAUGACGAAAAUUACAUCAAAAAUCGAAGCGGUAAAAACCGUUCAGUCGCAAAUAUAGGCGAGGAGGCUGCUCAUUUCCCAACUUCGACACAAUGCAAAAAGUGGCCAUGCCACAGAAAAAAAAUGACGGGAAUUAUGAUAAAAUCUUAUCUACAGCGGAUCGAUAGCAACUGCAGCACUCACAGCUUAUAAAAAAAAGUCGGAAACCAAUUUUGGGGAAACGGUGGGGAAAAUGACAACAGUAAAACAAACAAAACGGCGGAAAAUACGGCAAAAUUACGGCAAAAUUUACAGCGGUGUUACAAAAAAAAUUAAUAAUCGCCAUGUCGAACGAAAAAGUCGGUGACCAAAAUGACAGGAUUUACGGUAACUACAUCGUCAUUUUUAAGACCUUCUUUUUCCGCAGAACUAUAUACGUGUGCAGGAUGCAUUAGGAAAGAAUACUGCAUUAGCAGUGUCGACACAUUUUUGUACAUUGUGGGCGGCACCAUGAGUGUGCAUUAUAACAAAAUAAUCGUGUCUGUUUUUAAAAGAAAAUCAUGGAAAACAUUGAAAUAAACAUGCAUGGUAAACACGGGUAAAAUCAUUCAUUCCUAAGGUUGCAGGUAAGCUUUUAUUAGACAUAGUUAUUGGCUGCAUUGGAAUGUUUCUCUUCAGUAACAAAUGGGCUAGGCCCAGUGUUUUCGCACCCCUGUUAACUUAGGAAAGAGUUGCAGCUUUCAUCGGAGAAAAUGAGGAUCUAAAAGUGGAGACAUGCAGACUGGAUGAGCUAGGCUGCUUAGUCAGGACGAAAAUGGACCCUCCCACAGCCUCAUCACACACAGAAACUCGAGGAACCGGAAGCAGGGAGGAGGACCGACAGAUGAACGGAUGACCUGCUUGCUGGGCUUCCCAUUACUGAUUCUUGAGGACCUUCUGCAACUGAACCAGAUGGAUUCUGCAACUGGAUGUAACAUGCUUGACAAGGAAGAGAAUCUUACGUGUUGACUUUAAGAGGAUGAAGCUUCUCCACAAAUGAAUGCCAAGGAACCAGAUGCUGGAAAGACCGACAGAUGCCUGACCCUCCUUGCCGAGCUGGACAUUACUAAUUCUUGAGGUGCAAGAAAGAGACCAAGUUUUAGAACAUGAGGACAACCAAGCUUGGAUGAGACUGGACAAUGACGAAGCUUAUCUCUCUAUGGACAAGGAUAGUCUCAUCAGAAACCAAGAACCGGAAGAAGCAAGCAAGGAAGACCAACAGAUGAACCGAUGACCCUGUUUUCUGCGCUUGCCUUUACCAAUUCCUUAAGUUAGUUUUACUCAAGGAACAAGAAAGAAUAAACAAGUACAAUGAAGAGGAAGUCUCAUCUACAGUGAACAUUUUUGCGUGUUGGCGGUAGUGCUAAAGCCCCAUGCCAAUUUGCCAAUGAAACAAAAACACUGUUGCCAUUUAACUUGAUAGUGCAUUUUUUUCAAUGAUAACUAAUUUAAGUAAAUACAAGAGUUUUAAACGCUUUCAAAAAAAUUAGGAUGUUUGAGAAAUUAACAAAGUUAAGAUGUCUAUGUAGCUAAAAUGGGUUAUUUUCUUUACAAUUUUAAAUCGAUUAGAAAAACUCAAGAAUGUAAAACUUUUGGAAAGUUUCAAGAAUCACCGGGAGUUGUUCAUGAAUUUCUCUGUACCAAAAUGUUGGAAAAUUUAAGGACUGUUGAAGACCUCUCCCCUCACUUUUAUGUCACCUACCUUAAAAAGUUUAAAUGGUUCUUCUUUGUUCCCCCUCAGAAAACUCCUUAAUGCAUUGCAACAGGUUACUGGCACUCAGAUUACAUUGUGUAUAUCCUUUUGUAUUGUCUGUUUGAUUGCACGUUUUCACUACUAACUUAUUUUAUUUUGUUCACUUGGUGUCUUUUGGUGGUUUUGCAUGUCUUUUGAUUUUACUCGUUUAAUUAACCCACAAAAGGAUAAACGCAAUGUAUACCGAGUGCUGAACUUGCCUCAUCAAAAAUUGUGUUCACACAUUAGCUAAAUUAAAUAAGAUAAUGCUUAGAAUAUUUCAAAACAUGAUCUCUUAAGUAUCUAAGUUUUUAAAAGUGGGAGGGGGAUAUCCCCUAGCCUUUAUGUUCCUUUUUAAUUUGUUAAUUCACAAAAAAGUACCAGCUUUAAUACCCUCUAAUGUUAUUAUUUUUUUCUAAUGUUUUAAUUUUUUUGUAUUAAAAGCUUAAUUUAAGUCUUAGCAUUCAAGUAUCAGAAUUGUUGGCAUACCCAAAUGUUUUAUUUAUCUAAUGUCCGUACUGAAUUGCUUCUAAACAAAUCGAAAUAAUUAUUAUAAGGUGCUUCUAUAUUGGCUUCCAAAGACCAAUUAUAAUGUCACCUGAUCUGUUUAAACAAUCUGAAAUAGUUUUUGUGGAAAAUUGUGAAUUUUUAAUUUCUCAAAUUGUUUCCUUAUCUAGAAUCCAUGAUCAGUAUUUGUUUCGUAAGGAAUUUGUUCAAAAACAUUUGUAUGUCAAUCAGGUGACAAGAAUAAAAACUGAAUGAAAUGAGAUCAUUGAUAA